Molecule: ribosomal RNA, 427 nt
Filed under: uncultured prokaryote
Description: bacterial SSU rRNA
Rfam family: Bacterial small subunit ribosomal RNA
Source: RNAcentral
UGGGGAAUUUUCCGCAAUGGGCGCAAGCCUGACGGAGCAAUACCGCGUGAGGGAGGAAGGCUUUUGGGUUGUAAACCUCUUUUCUCAAGGAAGAAGUCAGUGACGGUACUUGAGGAAUCAGCAUCGGCUAACUCCGUGCCAGCAGCCGCGGUAAUACGGAGGAUGCAAGCGUUAUCCGGAAUCAUUGGGCGUAAAGCGUCCGCAGGUGGCCUAUCAAGUCUGCUGUCAAAGACUAGAGCUUAACUCUGGAAAGGCGGUGGAAACUGGGAGGCUAGAGUACGGUAGGGGUAGAGGGAAUUCCCAGUGUAGCGGUGAAAUGCGUAGAUAUUGGGAAGAACACCAGUGGCGAAGGCGCUCUACUGGGCCGUAACUGACACUCAGGGACGAAAGCUAGGGUAGCGAAAGGGAUUAGAUACCCGCGUAGUCC